AUGUCGGCAUUAAACCCGGCUUCCUCAUCUGGUUCAAUCAACAAACCAAACCCUCCUUCAGAGGCUCCCAUCCCCCCUAAACCUUUCCCCCGACACUUGACGAGGUCGUCCUAUUCCCUGCAGAGCUCCAGCCCUCCACCUGAUUUGUCACGAGGCCAUUCUUCCUCCUGGGGGACCCGGAGCGUUCCCGAUCUCCCUGCUGCUCAACAACAGCACAGGCGGUUCGAAGAGAACACAGUGACAAACCAAAACCACCCAGGUUGGAGCCCUGCAUUCCCUUAUUCUAACUUUAAUCUUCAUACGCCUGUUCAGUAUCUUAACCCAAGUCCGAGUCACUCCCCAGCCCCCAUGAUGCUCAACCCUCCUCUACAGUACCCCUCCCCUCUUCAACCCUAUGCCAGUCUCCCUAAUCUCUGUCAAUACAACAGUCCCGCCGUUCUUAACAGUUCCAGUCUGUCCGCUUUACACCAGCCUGUAACUCCCACUGUCGACCAGCACAGCAGAAGUCUUUUGAAUUUGCACCAGCCCACAUCUUUCUCCACACCCCACCACAGCAGUCUUGGAAACCUCCAUUUUGGAUCUGCACUGCACCACCAGGGCUACAACCAUCUACACAACAAUCAGCCGUAUCACCAUUCAACACCUCAUGGUUCACAGUGUGCAUCACCCUACCUUGGUUAUCAUGGAUAUAACGCCUUUCCUCAGUCCUUCCCCCAGUGUGCACCACAGGCUCCGGAGCACAGCCUCUACCAGGGACUCACACCUCAUCCUCCAGGGUUCCUCACAGCUCCUGCCUCAUCCUUCAGCUCCUUUUCCAGUUUCCACUCAACCCACACUCCUCCAGCCAUGUCCAGCACUGAGAUGCAACUGAGGAAAGUCCUCCAUGAUAUCAAGGGAGCUGUCCAGAGUCUCGGGCAGAAUCGAACUGAGAUUCAGGAGCCUUCUUGUGACCACGGAGCAGCGCUGCCCAGCCACCAGGUACCACCACCCCAUCUGUUGGGCAUCUUUGGUGUUUAG
RNAcentral lists this long non-coding RNA (1017 nucleotides) under Takifugu rubripes (torafugu). Its description in RNAcentral is "lncRNA (ENSTRUG00000032978.1)". Lineage: Eukaryota; Metazoa; Chordata; Actinopteri; Tetraodontiformes; Tetraodontidae. The record is from RNAcentral.